UUGACCUCAAAUCAGGUAGGACUACCCGCUGAACUUAAGCAUAUCAAUAAGCGGAGGAAGAGAAACUAACAAGGAUUC
RNAcentral lists this ribosomal RNA (78 nucleotides) under Phellinus punctatus. RNAcentral describes it as "partial 28S ribosomal RNA". It matches the Rfam family "Eukaryotic large subunit ribosomal RNA", at positions 1 to 77 of the family's 3401-position model. The record is from RNAcentral. Lineage: Eukaryota; Fungi; Basidiomycota; Agaricomycetes; Hymenochaetales; Hymenochaetaceae.